This 243-nucleotide ribosomal RNA is filed under the name uncultured bacterium. RNAcentral describes it as "partial 16S ribosomal RNA". It matches the Rfam family "Bacterial small subunit ribosomal RNA", at positions 791 to 1035 of the family's 1533-position model. The record is from RNAcentral.
UAGUCCACGCUGUAAACGAUGAGUGUUAGGUGUCUGGGAGAACCUGGGUGCCACAGCAAACGCAAUAAACACUCCGCCUGGGGAGUACGCACGCAAGUGUGAAACUCAAAGGAAUUGACGGGGACCCGCACAAGUAGCGGAGCAUGUGGUUUAAUUCGAUGCAACGCGAAGAACCUUACCAGGGCUUGACAUAAAAGUGACGAGGGAUAGAGACAUGCCUUUUCUCUUCGGAGACAGUUUUAC